Molecule: ribosomal RNA, 1074 nt
Filed under: Enterococcus faecalis
Lineage: Bacteria; Bacillati; Bacillota; Bacilli; Lactobacillales; Enterococcaceae
Also listed under: 5 other names
Description: bacterial SSU rRNA
Rfam family: Bacterial small subunit ribosomal RNA
Source: RNAcentral
GUUCAUCCCUUGACGGUAUCUAACCAGAAAGCCACGGCUAACUACGUGCCAGCAGCCGCGGUAAUACGUAGGUGGCAAGCGUUGUCCGGAUUUAUUGGGCGUAAAGCGAGCGCAGGCGGUUUCUUAAGUCUGAUGUGAAAGCCCCCGGCUCAACCGGGGAGGGUCAUUGGAAACUGGGAGACUUGAGUGCAGAAGAGGAGAGUGGAAUUCCAUGUGUAGCGGUGAAAUGCGUAGAUAUAUGGAGGAACACCAGUGGCGAAGGCGGCUCUCUGGUCUGUAACUGACGCUGAGGCUCGAAAGCGUGGGGAGCGAACAGGAUUAGAUACCCUGGUAGUCCACGCCGUAAACGAUGAGUGCUAAGUGUUGGAGGGUUUCCGCCCUUCAGUGCUGCAGCAAACGCAUUAAGCACUCCGCCUGGGGAGUACGACCGCAAGGUUGAAACUCAAAGGAAUUGACGGGGGCCCGCACAAGCGGUGGAGCAUGUGGUUUAAUUCGAAGCAACGCGAAGAACCUUACCAGGUCUUGACAUCCUUUGACCACUCUAGAGAUAGAGCUUCCCCUUCGGGGGCAAAGUGACAGGUGGUGCAUGGUUGUCGUCAGCUCGUGUCGUGAGAUGUUGGGUUAAGUCCCGCAACGAGCGCAACCCUUAUUGUUAGUUGCCAUCAUUUAGUUGGGCACUCUAGCGAGACUGCCGGUGACAAACCGGAGGAAGGUGGGGAUGACGUCAAAUCAUCAUGCCCCUUAUGACCUGGGCUACACACGUGCUACAAUGGGAAGUACAACGAGUUGCGAAGUCGCGAGGCUAAGCUAAUCUCUUAAAGCUUCUCUCAGUUCGGAUUGUAGGCUGCAACUCGCCUACAUGAAGCCGGAAUCGCUAGUAAUCGCGGAUCAGCACGCCGCGGUGAAUACGUUCCCGGGCCUUGUACACACCGCCCGUCACACCACGAGAGUUUGUAACACCCGAAGUCGGUGAGGUAACCUUUUUGGAGCCAGCCGCCUAAGGUGGGAUAGAUGAUUGGGGUGAAGUCGUAACAAGGUAGCCGUAUCGGAAGGUGCGGCUGGAUCACCUCCUUU